Molecule: ribosomal RNA, 375 nt
Filed under: uncultured bacterium
Lineage: Bacteria
Description: bacterial SSU rRNA
Rfam family: Bacterial small subunit ribosomal RNA
Source: RNAcentral
AUACGUAGGUGGCAAGCGUUGUCCGGAUUUACUGGGCGUAAAGGAUGCGUAGGCGGAUGUUUAAGUGAGAUGUGAAAUUCCCGGGCUUAACUUGGGAGCUGCAUUUCAAACUGGAUGUCUAGAGUGCAGGAGAGGAGAAUGGAAUUCCUAAUGUAGCGGUGAAAUGCGUAGAGAUUAGGAAGAACACCAGUGGCGAAGGCGAUUCUCUGGACUGUAACUGACGCUGAGGCAUGAAAGCGUGGGUAGCAAACAGGAUUAGAUACCCUGGUAGUCCACGCCGUAAACGAUGAGUACUAGGUGUAGGAGGUCUAAGCCUUCUGUGCCGCAGUUAACACAAUAAGUACUCCGCCUGGGAAGUACGAUCGCAAGAUUAAA